ACGGACCUAGGGGCGCAGCAGUGGGGGAUAUUGCACAAUGGGGGAAACCCUGAUGCAGCGACGCCGCGUGAGCGAUGAAGUAUUUCGGUAUGUAAAGCUCUAUCAGCAGGGAAGAAAAUGACGGUACCUGACUAAGAAGCCCCGGCUAACUACGUGCCAGCAGCCGCGGUAAUACGUAGGGGGCAAGCGUUAUCCGGAUUUACUGGGUGUAAAGGGAGCGUAGACGGCAGUGCAAGUCUGAAGUGAAAGGCAAGGGCUCAACCCUUGGACUGCUUUGGAAACUGUGCUGCUGGAGUGUCGGAGAG
Molecule: ribosomal RNA, 305 nt
Filed under: uncultured bacterium
Lineage: Bacteria
Description: bacterial SSU rRNA
Rfam family: Bacterial small subunit ribosomal RNA
Source: RNAcentral